This is an RNA transcript of Carassius auratus (goldfish), 3835 nucleotides long. It is a transcript of the gene named E3 ubiquitin-protein ligase TRIM39-like, with no coding region annotated. The record is from RefSeq and is a predicted model, not a curated record. NCBI's taxonomy places the organism in Eukaryota, Metazoa, Chordata, Actinopteri, Cypriniformes, Cyprinidae. The transcript is spliced from 9 exons.
GGCCCAUCCAGGCCCGCCCACAGCUCCGCGCCAUGGUUUCGUUUCUGUUUCUGUUCCUGUCAAAAUUUAGUUUUUUGGUUUUGGAUGUUUCAUUUUUAAUUUUAUGAAAGCUUCAAGUGCAGUUAAUUGUUUGUACGUGUAUACAGACGACGGCUGUGUUGAAGCUCUUUUAUUUGCCGUCAAAUAAAGUACAGUAAGAGCUCUGACGACACUGGAGUUCAAAGAAAGUGAAACUAACUUAAACAACAAUUGCAACGAUCAACCAAAACAACAGAAUAUUUAUUGAGCUGUUCUAAGAUCCGUGUGAUCACAUCUUAUACUCACAGGGAAAAGCAAUGGCAGAAUCUUCACCAUCAAACAAACCAAGAAAAACCAGGAGGACGAGUAUAAAUGAAACUCCAUUAAUGUCAUCCUCCAGUGGUUCACUGUCUGAGGAGCUUCAGUGCUCUGUGUGUCUGAAAGUGUUCACUGAUCCAGUCUCGACUCCAUGUGGACUCAACUUCUGCAAGAUCUUUCUGAAUAAGUGCUGGGACAACAGCCAGAUCUACAGCUGUCCAUACUGUAAAGAAACAUUCAAGCAAAGACCUGAUCUCAAGAUUAAUACCACACUCCGAGAGAUUGCUGAUCCUUAUAAAAAGAAACCUCCUGAGAAAACAACUGAAGUUGUGUGUGACAUCUGUGAGGAAAGAAAGCUGAAAGCGCUGAAGUCGUGUCUGGUGUGUCAGAGCUCUUACUGUGAAACUCACCUGGAGCCUCAUUUGAGAGUGACACGUUUGAAGAAACACAAACUGAUGGAUCCUGUAAGUAAUCUGGAGGACUAUAUAUGUCAGAAACACGAGAGACCUCUGGAGCUGUUCUGUAGAGAUGAUCAGACCAUCGUCUGUCUGUCCUGUACUGAUGGAGAUCACAAGAACCACAACACUGUGUCUUUAGAAGAGACCGAGUUGAUGAUCCAAGACACACAGCAGAUGAUCCAGGACAGAAUCAAGAAGAUUCAAGACAUCAAACACUCAGCAGAAGUCAGACAUAGAAGCACACAGAAGGAUAAAACAGCUUGUAUCGAGCUCUUCACUGAUCUCCUCCGCUCCAUUGAGAGACAUCAGACUGAACAGCUGGAGAUGAUGGAGGAGAAGCAGAAAGCAGCAGAGAAACAGAAGAAAGAGCUGAUUGAAGAGCUGGAGCAGGAGAUCACUGAGCUAAAGACGAGAAACAUUAAACUGCAGCAGCUUUCACAGACUGAAGAUGUCAUACAGAUUUACUCAUCUCUGAACAGCCUCAGAAACAGCAGGAACUGGUCUGAGAUCAGUGUGAAGACUCGUGAGACUCUGGAGAGUCUGAUGAGAGAUCUGACUCAACUGAAGAACACUAUUGAUGAGAAACUUGAUCAAACAAAGCUGAAGUGGAUGCAGCAGUAUGCAGUGGAUGUGACUCUGGAUCCUGAUACAGCUCAUCCAUAUCUCAUUCUGUCUGAUGAUGGAAAACAAGUGAGACAUGGAGACAUUAGACAGAAACUCCCAGACAAACCAGAGAGAUUUGAUUACUGUGUCUGUGUCCUGGGAAAGGAGGGAUUCUCCUCAGGGAGAUUUUAUUUUGAGGUGCAGGUGAAGGGUAAGAAUAAUUGGGAUUUAGGAGUGGUCAGAGAAUCCAUUAACAGGAAGGGACACAUCACACUGAGACCCAGUGAUGGACACUGGACUGUGGUUCUGAGGAAUGGAGAUGAAUAUAAAGCCUUUGCUGGUCCUCCUGUCCCUCUGUCUCUGAGAGUGAAGCCGCAGCGGGUCGGUGUGUUUGUGGAUUAUGAGGAGGGUCUGGUCUCCUUUUAUGAUGCAGAGUCCAGAUCUCAUAUCUACUCUUUCACUGCUCAGUCUUUCACUGGGAAACUCUAUCCAUAUUUUAGCCCAAACCCUAAUGAUGGAGGUAAAAACUCAGAGCCACUGAUCAUCACAGCUGUCAUGAAGGAACAUUAAUUUAUACAUGAAAUAGGAUCACAGUGAUUUUUAAUUAUUAUUUCAAAUCUGAUAAUGUAUGUGGUGCUACUCAAGUGAUGAAAGUUUUUUUCAUCACAUAUUUUGUUGGAUCGAUCCUCACAGGCCAGAGCUUUCCCUCUCCAAGUGAACCAAUGAGCCGCCCAUGACCCUGGGAACACCCAACAAGAGCUGCGCGGUUUUGGAGAUGUCUCUGACCCAGUCGUCUAGUCAUCACAAUUUGUCCCUUGUUAAACUCGCUCAAAUCAUUUAUGAUAAUUCAGCCGAUUAUGGACCAUAGGGGCUAGAGAGAGUAAAGGGUGCUUGUCUCCAAAAAUUGGAUUGAUGAGGGUCAUAAAAGACAUCUGUUUUGCACACCUGUUUGGACCAGAUACGUUCGAGUCCAAGCUUGUAGCAUUACAAUUUAAAAAGGUGUUAGAGUUUGUUACCAGUUAGAAAAGAAAACAAGGUCACAGAGUUUAUAGCAUUUGUACCUUACCUCAAACUAAAACAAAAAAGAAGGAAACGAAAAGCAAUUUUGCAAACCAGGAAAGUUAGCGUUUGUCACGCCAGGUGAAAAGUUAAAACAAAAGAAAAAAAGAGGCAUGCAUUUACGCUGAUCUCAAAGAAAAUACAUCAGACGCCGUCGUUAAAACACCAGCACAAGAUAUUUGUCAAAACUAUGUUGUACUCUACCACUAACUACAAUUUUCAAAAUCUGGACUUUGUUACUGACAGAGAAUUAAACAAAAGAAAAAAGAUAUCCCCGCAGAGAUUAACUGACGGAUCACCUCACGAGUCACGAGAAUGCGCGCUCCGGUCCCACUCAAACCACUUCUUCUUCUUCUUUGACGCAAAGCUUUAGGCGCAUUUACCGCCACCUACUGGGAUGGAGUGUUGACGUUAAUGAAAACUAACUCAAAAAUAAAAUAAAUAAUAAUAAAACUUAGUAUUAAUUCUUUAAAUCCUGUUAAUUAACUCUGUAUAUUUGAGAUACUUAAUCUGUGAAACAAUUCUAUAGUCACAUCUUUAUUUACCAAUUUCUAAAAUGAGAUCUGAUUUAUUUCUAUAAUAUGUGCUUCUGUAAAUUGUAAUCUUUUUUUGUCGUAUCCUGUCCAUUUUAUUAAAAUAGGUUCAACUGUUUCAGGAAGAUCACAUUUAACACUAAGUCUAGACACAUGUAUCCCUCUUAUAAAUAAUGGCUGAUUAAGUGCAAUGUGUCCAAUUCUAUGGCGAGAUAUUAUGCGGUCUUCCUUUCUAUCCCCCAAAAUCUCCUUUCAUUUCCAACUGUUCUUUGAAUAUUAUAUAAAUGCCAUCCUUUAUUCUCACCACCCCCAUUUAAUUUGUCACGUAUCUUUUUAUGUUUAUUAUUUUUUUUUUUUAAUUAGCCCUUUUAUUUCUAAUUUACUCAUUGGAGCAUUAAACUGUAUGUCUGGACAUUUGAAUGUUCCACCACUUCAUUACUUUCUAUUCCUAUAUGUGCAGGUAUCCAUACAAAAUAAAUAUUUGUUUUUGUUUGUAUUCUGAACAAACUCUGUAAUAUGUCUGAGAAAAUGUCUCGUUGAAGAUUCGCCACUCUUUAAACUUUAUAGUGCAGAAAAUAAGUUUCAACACAUAUGACUACUUCAGGUAUAUUAAUGUCCCAAAAUAAGCCCACUGAAGAGCCAAAAAUAUGGCAAUCAUUUCCGUAGUAUAAACUGACAGAUGAUUAGAUGUUAUUUUAGCUAAUCUAUACCUAACCCUUGGAACAUAUAUAGCUGCUGAUGCUGUGUGUCCUGUCUCAGGAUCUUUACAUCUGUAUAUAUGUGAGUUACUUUAAAACUAGGUUAGCCUAUACGAAUUUAAUUUUUUCGUCCAAACAAAAGUCCUUU